UUGGAGGGCAAGUCUGGUGCCAGCAGCCGCGGUAAUUCCAGCUCCAAUAGCGUAUAUUAAAGUUGUUGCAGUUAAAAAGCUCGUAGUUGAAUUUCGGGAUCAGAUUGUCGGUCGUGCCUCGGUACGCACUGGUAUUAUUGGUUCCUACCUUCUGAAGAACCGCGAUGUCAUUAAUUUGGUGUCGUGGGGAAUCAGGACUGUUACUUUGAAAAAAUUAGAGUGUUUAAAGCAGGCUUACGCUUGAAUACAUUAGCAUGGAAUAAUGAAAUAGGACGUUUGAUUCUAUUUUGUUGGUUUCUAGGAUUGACGUAAUGAUUAAUAGGGAUGGUUGGGGGCAUUAGUAUUCAAUUGUCAGAGGUGAAAUUCUUGGAUUUAUUGAAGACUAACUACUGCGAAAGCAUUUGCCAAGGAUGUUUUCAUUAAUCAAGAACGAAAGUUAGGGGAUCGAAGACGAUCGGAUACCGUCGUAGUCUUAACCAUAAACUAUGCCGACUAGGGAUCGGAUGAUGUUGAUUUUUUAAUGACUCAUUCGGCGCCUUACGGGAAACCAAAGUGUUUGGGUUC
RNAcentral lists this ribosomal RNA (564 nucleotides) under uncultured Glomeromycotina. Its description in RNAcentral is "SSU rRNA". It matches the Rfam family "Eukaryotic small subunit ribosomal RNA", at positions 548 to 1114 of the family's 1831-position model. The record is from RNAcentral. Lineage: Eukaryota; Fungi; Glomeromycota.